GCUCAGGAUGAACGCUAGCUACAGGCUUAACACAUGCAAGUCGAGGGGCAGCAUGAAGUUUGCUUGCAAACUUUGAUGGCGACCGGCGCACGGGUGAGUAACACGUAUCCAACCUUCCCAUAACUCGGGGAUAGCCUUUCGAAAGAAAGAUUAAUACCCGAUAGUACUUAUAUAGGGCAUCCUACAUAAGUUAAAGAUUUAUUGGUUAUGGAUGGGGAUGCGUUCCAUUAGAUAGUUGGUGAGGUAACGGCUCACCAAGUCUUCGAUGGAUAGGGGUUCUGAGAGGAAGGUCCCCCACAUUGGUACUGAGACACGGACCAAACUCCUACGGGAGGCAGCAGUGAGGAAUAUUGGUCAAUGGGCGAGAGCCUGAACCAGCCAAGUA
RNAcentral lists this ribosomal RNA (385 nucleotides) under uncultured Bacteroidales bacterium. RNAcentral describes it as "bacterial SSU rRNA". It matches the Rfam family "Bacterial small subunit ribosomal RNA", at positions 22 to 398 of the family's 1533-position model. Lineage: Bacteria; Pseudomonadati; Bacteroidota; Bacteroidia; Bacteroidales. The record is from RNAcentral.